This is a long non-coding RNA of Planococcus citri (citrus mealybug), 1103 nucleotides long. RefSeq lists it as uncharacterized. Lineage: Eukaryota; Metazoa; Arthropoda; Insecta; Hemiptera; Pseudococcidae. The record is from RefSeq and is a predicted model, not a curated record. The transcript has 3 exons.
GCGUCAAGUGCAGGGCGAAUUUUUUGAUUUUCGCCCUGAUUUCCUGGCAUUUUUUCCGUUAAGUUUGAAUCACUGUUUGAUAUACCAUGCAUAUGGUCACAUGUGUUGCUCGUUUGUGUAGGGAAAGUUCAAAAUCUGUUCUAGUUUUUAGGAGUAAUUUUUUCGAUCGCGUUCUUUCAUUUGUGAGAUUCUAUUUUUUGCAAUUUAGCGAUUUGUGUUGUUAUCUGUGUAUUUGUGCCGUCAGUAUCCGGUUGUCCAUAGGCGAUUACUGAUAGUCUAAUAAUAACUUCAGUGCUUCGUGUUCUUAAACUGAUUAAGUGAUAAACUACCUAACCAUGCAGUGGCUGAGACAAACGUAUUUUAAACGCGUCUUAUAAGUAUGUAGAAAUGAUUUUUGAAAAUGUGAAUGGUGUGUUUUUCAAUCGGUUUGUGUAGCAGUGUUUUUUAUUACAUAAGCAGUGUAAAGUAACUUUUCCAUAGAAAAAGUUUUUAAAUAUAGUGUGACCUGAUUUUUAAAAAGUUUCGCUCUUUUGUCAAUUGGGUAUGUUUUCCCCCAAUUUUUUUCCAAAGCUCGGUUGCCCCUUCAAAUUCAAAGAUAGGCAACUUAUCCAUAUUAUAACGUUUUUUUAAGUCGUACUUGGUCGUACCUAGUUAUAUCCAAAUCUGAAGUUUUGACAUCGCCAGACACCCUGUAUAAUACUGUUGAGCAAGAAGAGAGACGACAUCAAAAGAAGAGGAAUAAUUUUCAACACAAUAGGCAGGGACGGAAGAGCCGGGAGAGAGCAGGAGCCAGAGUCCGAAAGAGCCAGAUUUUCUGAGGAGCUAGAGCCAGAGCCAAGAGCCAAAUAAAUGAAAGUGCAGAAAAACAUCAAGAGCUCUCUUGCAAAAGAGCUCCUUAUUUUACUCAAGACUUUAACCUGGAAAGAGCCAGAGCCGAGUGGGAGCCCACAACAUUUUUCAGGCUCUUUGGCUCCCUAAAAGUAGAAGAAAAAAAGUAAAAAAAUGGCAAAAAUGCGCACAAUUUUAUAUCAAUAAUUCAACUUUCAACUCACAUUUGUAAAGAAAAUGAAGAAUUUCUACAUUUUGUUUUCUCAUUGAGAAAU